GACAAUGGGCGCAANCCUGAUCUAGCCAUGCCGCGUGAGUGAAGAAGGUCUUAGGAUCGUAAAGCUCUUUCGCCUGUGAAGAUAAUGACGGUAGCAGGNAAAGAAACCCCGGCUAACUCCGUGCCAGCAGCCGCGGUAAUACGGAGGGGGUUAGCGUUGUUCGGAAUUACUGGGCGUAAAGCGCGCGUAGGCGGACNUUUAAGUCAGGGGUGAAAUCCCGGGGCUCAACCCCGGAACUGCCNUUGAUACUGGGNGUCUNGAGUUCGAGAGAGGUGAGUGGAANUCCGAGUGUAGAGGUGAAAUUCGUAGAUAUUCGGANGAACACCAGUGGCGAAGGCGGCUCACUGGCUCGAUACUGACGCUGAGGUGCGAAAGUGUGGGGAGCAAACAGGAUUAGAUACCCUGGUAGUCCACACCGUAAACGAUGAAUGCCAGUCGUCNGGNAGCAUGCCCUUCGGUGACACACUUAACGGAUUAAGCAUUCCGCCUGGGGAGUACGGUCGC
RNAcentral lists this ribosomal RNA (504 nucleotides) under uncultured Alphaproteobacteria bacterium. RNAcentral describes it as "bacterial SSU rRNA". It matches the Rfam family "Bacterial small subunit ribosomal RNA", at positions 367 to 889 of the family's 1533-position model. Lineage: Bacteria; Pseudomonadati; Pseudomonadota; Alphaproteobacteria. The record is from RNAcentral.